RNAcentral lists this transfer RNA (71 nucleotides) under Loxodonta africana (African savanna elephant). It matches the Rfam family "tRNA". From Rfam's summary of the family: Transfer RNA (tRNA) molecules are approximately 80 nucleotides in length. Their secondary structure includes four short double-helical elements and three loops (D, anti-codon, and T loops). Further hydrogen bonds mediate the characteristic L-shaped molecular structure. tRNAs have two regions of fundamental functional importance: the anti-codon, which is responsible for specific mRNA codon recognition, and the 3' end, to which the tRNAs corresponding amino acid is attached (by aminoacyl-tRNA synthetases). tRNAs cope with the degeneracy of the genetic code in two manners: having more than one tRNA (with a specific anti-codon) for a particular amino acid; and 'wobble' base-pairing, i.e. permitting non-standard base-pairing at the 3rd anti-codon position. The record is from Rfam by way of RNAcentral. Lineage: Eukaryota; Metazoa; Chordata; Mammalia; Proboscidea; Elephantidae.
GCACUGGUGGUUCCGCGGUAGAACUCUUCCCUCCUAUGCAGGAGACCCGGGUUCAAUUCCUGGCCCGUACA